GAUGAACGCUGGCGGCGUGCCUAACACAUGCAAGUCGAGCGAACAGACGAGGAGCUUGCUCCUCUGACGUUAGCGGCGGACGGGUGAGUAACACGUGGAUAACCUACCUAUAAGACUGGGAUAACUUCGGGAAACCGGAGCCAAUACCGGAUCAUAUAUUGAACCGCAUGGUUCAAUAGAGCAAGAGGGCUUUGCUGACACUAAUAGAUGGUUCCGCGCCGCAUUAGCUAGUUGGUAGGGUAACGGCUUACCAAGGCUACGAUGCGUAGCCGACCUGAGAGGGUGAUCAGCCACACUGGAACUGAGACACGGUCCAGACUCCUACGGGAGGCAGCAGUGGGGAAUCUUCCACAAUGGGCGAAAGCUUGACGGAGCAACGCCGCGUGAGUGAUGAAGGUCUUCGGAUCGUAAAGCUCUGUUAUUAGGGAAGAACAAAAGUGUAAGUAACUAUGCACGUCUUGACGGUACCUAAACAAAAAGCCACGGCUAACUACGUG
This 497-nucleotide ribosomal RNA is filed under the name uncultured bacterium. RNAcentral describes it as "partial 16S ribosomal RNA". It matches the Rfam family "Bacterial small subunit ribosomal RNA", at positions 28 to 507 of the family's 1533-position model. The record is from RNAcentral.